Molecule: ribosomal RNA, 421 nt
Filed under: uncultured bacterium
Lineage: Bacteria
Description: bacterial SSU rRNA
Rfam family: Bacterial small subunit ribosomal RNA
Source: RNAcentral
UGGGGAAUCUUGCGCAAUGGGCGAAAGCCUGACGCAGCGACGCCGCGUGAGGGAUGAAGGCCUUCGGGUUGUAAACCUCUUUCAGCAGGGACGAAGCGAGAGUGACGGUACCUGCAGAAGAAGCACCGGCUAACUACGUGCCAGCAGCCGCGGUAAUACGUAGGGCGCGAGCGUUGUCCGGAAUUAUUGGGCGUAAAGAGCUCGUAGGCGGCUUGUCGCGUCUGUCGUGAAAGCCCACGGCUUAACCGUGGGUUUGCGGUGGAUACGGGCAGGCUAGAGGCAGGUAGGGGAGCAUGGAAUUCCCGGUGUAGCGGUGAAAUGCGCAGAUAUCGGGAGGAACACCGGUGGCGAAGGCGGUGCUCUGGGCCCUGUUCUGACGCUGAGGAGCGAAAGCGUGGGGAGCGAACAGGAUUAGAUACCC